Molecule: non-coding RNA, 294 nt
Organism: Pelobates cultripes (western spadefoot toad)
Lineage: Eukaryota; Metazoa; Chordata; Amphibia; Anura; Pelobatidae
Source: the annotation of a GenBank genome assembly
ACACACACUGCAUUACAUACACACUACACAAACACAGUACACAUACUGCAUUACAUACACACACACUGCAUUACAUACACACUACACAUACACACACACUGCAUUACAUACACACUACACAAACACACACUGCAUUACAUACAUACACACACUACAUAAACACACUGCAUUAUAUACACACUACACACACUGCAUUAUAUACACACUACAUUCAUUAUACACACACUACACAAACACACACCCUGCAUCCACUACACACACACACACACUACACAAACACACACAGUUCCCCUG